CCUACGGGAGGCUGCAGUGAGGAAUAUUGGUCAAUGGACGAGAGUCUGAACCAGCCAAGUAGCGUGAAGGAUGACUGCCCUAUGGGUUGUAAACUUCUUUUAUAUGGGAAUAAAUUGUUCAAGGGGUGGGUUUUUGAAUGUACCUUAUGAAUAAGGAUCGGCUAACUCCGUGCCAGCAGCCGCGGUAAUACGGAGGAUCCGAGCGUUAUCCGGAUUUAUGGGGUUUAAGGGGAGCGUAGGUGGAUUGUUAAGUCAGUUGUGAAAGUUUGCGGCUCAACCGUAAAAUUGCAGUUGAAACUGGCAGUCUUGAGUACAGUAGAGGUAGGCGGAAUUCGUGGUGUAGCGGUGAAAUGCUUAGAUAUCACGAAGAACUCCGAUUGCGAAGGCAGCUCACUGGACUGCAACUGACACUGAGGCUCGAAAGUGUGGGUAUCAAACAGGAUUAGAUACCCCUGUAGUC
Molecule: ribosomal RNA, 460 nt
Filed under: uncultured bacterium
Lineage: Bacteria
Description: partial 16S ribosomal RNA
Rfam family: Bacterial small subunit ribosomal RNA
Source: RNAcentral